Molecule: ribosomal RNA, 368 nt
Filed under: uncultured organism
Description: bacterial SSU rRNA
Rfam family: Bacterial small subunit ribosomal RNA
Source: RNAcentral
CGGAGGGUGCAAGCGUUAUCCGGAUUCACUGGGUUUAAAGGGUGCGUAGGCGGGUAUGUAAGUCAGUGGUGAAAUCCCCGAGCUUAACUCGGGAACUGCCAUUGAUACUAUAUGUCUUGAAUAUCCUGGAGGUCUGCGGAAUAUGUCAUGUAGCGGUGAAAUGCUUAGAGAUGACAUAGAACAUCUAUUGCGAAGGCAGCAGGCUACGGGAAGAUUGACGCUGAGGCACGAAAGCGUGGGGAUCAAACAGGAUUAGAUACCCUGGUAGUCCACGCCCUAAACGAUGGAUACUCGACAUACGCGAUACACAGUGUGUGUCUGAGCGAAAGCAUUAAGUAUCCCACCUGGGAAGUACGACCUCAAGGUUG